RNAcentral lists this long non-coding RNA (2427 nucleotides) under Salmo salar (Atlantic salmon). RNAcentral describes it as "lncRNA (ENSSSAG00000121164.1)". Lineage: Eukaryota; Metazoa; Chordata; Actinopteri; Salmoniformes; Salmonidae. The record is from RNAcentral.
CCAACAGAACACAGACCAUCCCCAACAGAACACAGACCAUCCCCAACAGAACACAGACCAUCCCCAACAGAACACAGACCAUCUCCAACAGAACACAGACCAUCCCCAACAGAACACAGACCAUCCCCAACAGAACACAGACCAUCCCCAACAGAACACAGACCAUCUCCAACAGAACACAGACCAUCCCCAACAGAACACAGACCAUCUCCAACAGAACACAGACCAUCCCCAACAGAACACAGACCAUCCCCAACAGAACACAGACCAUCCCCAACAGAACACAGACCAUCUCCAACAGAACACAGACCAUCCCCAACAGAACACAGACCAUCCCCAACAGAACACAGACCAUCCCCAACAGAACACAGACCAUCUCCAACAGAACACAGACCAUCCCCAACAGAACACAGACCAUCCCCAACAGAACACAGACCAUCCCCAACAGAACACAGACCAUCCCCAACAGAACACAGACCAUCUCCAACAGAACACAGCGACCAUCUCUAACAGAACACAGACCAUCCCCAACAGAACACAGCGACCAUCUCUAACAGAACACAGACCAUCCCCAACAGAACACAGCGACCAUCUCUAACAGAACACAGACCAUCCCCAACAGAACACAGACCAUCCCCAACAGAACACAGACCAUCCCCAACAGAACACAGCGACCAUCCCCAACAGAACACAGCGACCAUCUCUAACAGAACACAGACCAUCCCCAACAGAACACAGACCAUCCCCAACAGAACACAGACCAUCCCCAACAGAACACAGACCAUCCCCAACAGAACACAGACCAUCCCCAACAGAACACAGACCAACCCCAACAGAACACAGACCAACCCCAACAGAACACAGACCAUCCUCAACGGAACACAGACCAUCAGUGAAGAGUACACAGCAUAAAAUAAUGAAGGAUCUCAAUUGCGUUUCCUUGGUUCCUUGCAUCCUCUCUCCUCGCCUCUUUUUCAAAACCCAUUGGAUUAGUUUAAAUUUAUUUUAUUUUUUAUUUAACCUUUAUUUAACUAGGCAAGUCAGUUAAGAACACAUUAUUAUUUUACAAUGACGGCCUACACCAUCAAAUCCCUCCCCUAACCCAGACGACGCUGGGCCAAUUGUGCGUCGCCCUAUGGGACUCCCAAUCCCGGCCGGUUGUGAUACAGCCUGGAUUCGACCCAGGGACUGUAGUGAAGCCUCUAGCACUGAAAUGCAGUGCCUUAGAUUGAUGCGCCACUCGGGAACCCGAGAAGGUGCGUCACUUGCCACCAACAGAUGGUGGCGAGGAACGAUGACAAGAGCAAUUAAUUAAUCAAUUAAGGAAAUGCUAUUUAAAUUUAAAGGUCAACAGGAGUUCUCCCUAUGAGCACAAGACGUUGAAAAUAUAUUUUUGGGGUUGAAAAGACUUAAAAAGACAUUGAAAAACAAGACAUCUUUCAACCAUAUUUUGCUGGUAUUUCUCUUCCUCAAACACCAAGACAAUACCAUCAUCAUAAUCGAUUCUGUUGAAUGGUUUUCCUUUGAGCCCGUCCAUUGGGUAAACACCUGGUUUAACCAGUACCAUUCCGCAGGUUGUGUCUAUUAAUAUUCAUCAUUGUACAGGUAUAAAAACAUACGUACGCAAGUAUAAAAGCGAUGAUCACUGCCACAACUUCCUCUUUCAACACAGAUCUCAGAUCAACCAACGCAGUAACACAGGUCCAAUGGCAGCCAUGGUGAAAUCUGAGCCUCUUGAUGGCAAUGGUGAUUCACUGUCAGAUCAAAAGAGUAAGAAGAUGAAGAUAACUGAGCCUAAUGAUAGCAUGUCUCCCAGUCCCUGCCGCUGAAAAACAUCACCACAACAUGAUGCUGCCACCACCACAGUGCUUCACCAUAGGGAUGGUGCCAGGUUUCCUCCAGAAGUGACGCAUGGCAUUCAGGCCAAAUAAUCUUUUUUCUCAUGGUCUGAGAGUUUUUAGGUGCCUUUUGGCAAACUCCAAGCUGGCUGUCAUGUGCCUUUUACUGAGGAGUGGCUUCCGUCUGGCCACUCUACCAUAAAUGCCUGAUUGGUUGAGUACUGCAGAGAUGGUUGUCCUUCUGGAAGGUUCUCCCAUCUCCAAAGAGGAACUCUAGAGCUCUGUCAGAGUGACCAUAGGGUUCUUGGUCACCUCCCCGACCAAGGCCCUUCUCCACCGAUUGCUCAGUUUGGCCAGGCGGCCAGCGCUAUGAAGAGUCUUGGUGGUUCCAAACUUCUUCCAUUUAAGAUUGAUGGAGGCCACUGUGUUCUCGGGGACCUUCAAUGCUGCAGAAAUGUUUUGGUACCCUUCCUAAGAUCUGUGCUUCGACACAAUUCUGUCUCAAUUUUGAGUCUCAUACCAAAGGGUCUGAAUACUUAUGUAAAUAAGGUAUUUCAGUAAUUUUUUUCUCAAUAAAUUUGCUAACAUU